AGAGUUUGAUCCUGGCUCAGGACGAACGCUGGCGGCGCGCUUAACACAUGCAAGUCGAGCGAGAACCUGUCCUUCGGGACGGGGGACAGCGGCGAACGGGUGAGUAACACGUGGGUAAUCAACCCCUGGCUCCGGGAUAGCCCGAGGAAACUCGGAUUAAUACCGGAUGGCCCAACAGCUCUUCGGGGCGGUUGGAAAAGGUAGCUUCGGCCUCCGGCCAAGGACGAGCCCGCGGCGGAUUAGCUUGUUGGUGGGGUAACGGCCUACCAAGGCGACGAUCCGUAGCUGGUCUGAGAGGACGAUCAGCCACACUGGGACUGAGACACGGCCCAGACUCCUACGGGAGGCAGCAGUGGGGAAUCUUGCACAAUGGGCGGAAGCCUGAUGCAGCGACGCCGCGUGAGGGAAGAAGGCUUUCGGGUUGUAAACCUCUUUCAGGAGGGACGAAGCUCCUCGGGUUAAUAGCCCAGAGGGUGACGGUACCUCCAGAAGAAGCCCCGGCUAACUACGUGCCAGCAGCCGCGGUAAUACGUAGGGGGCAAGCGUUGUCCGGAUUUAUUGGGCGUAAAGAGCGUGUAGGCGGCCAGAUAGGUCUGUUGUGAAAACUCGAGGCUCAACCUCGAGACGCCGAUGGAAACCAUCUGGCUAGAGUCCGGAAGAGGAGAGUGGAAUUCCUGGUGUAGCGGUGAAAUGCGCAGAUAUCAGGAAGAACACCCGUGGCUAAGGCGGCUCUCUAGUACGGUACUGACGCUGAGACGCGAAAGCGUGGGGAGCGAACAGGAUUAGAUACCCUAGUAGUCC
This 801-nucleotide ribosomal RNA is filed under the name uncultured bacterium. RNAcentral's name for it is "bacterial SSU rRNA". It matches the Rfam family "Bacterial small subunit ribosomal RNA", at positions 8 to 796 of the family's 1533-position model. The record is from RNAcentral.